This 88-nucleotide transfer RNA is filed under the name Streptomyces xanthophaeus. RNAcentral describes it as "tRNA-Arg". The record is from RNAcentral. Lineage: Bacteria; Bacillati; Actinomycetota; Actinomycetes; Kitasatosporales; Streptomycetaceae.
CGCUUCGAUGGGCUGGGGCGGCCACUUCGGCUCCGGCCGGGUGAGACGGGCCAGCUCGUCCGGCGGUUCGGCGCCGUCCUGGACGGCC